RNAcentral lists this ribosomal RNA (253 nucleotides) under uncultured bacterium. RNAcentral's name for it is "partial 16S ribosomal RNA". It matches the Rfam family "Bacterial small subunit ribosomal RNA", at positions 524 to 776 of the family's 1533-position model. The record is from RNAcentral.
UACAGAGGGUGCGAGCGUUGUUCGGAAUUAUUGGGCGUAAAGGGCGCGUAGGCGGCGCCACAAGUCACCUGUGAAAACUCUGGGCUCAACCCAGAGCCUGCAGGCGAAACUGUGGUGCUGGAGUAUGGGAGAGGCGCGUGGAAUUCCCGGUGUAGCGGUGAAAUGCGUAGAUAUUGGGAGGAACACCAGUGGCGAAGGCGGCUCACUGGACCGGUUCUGACGCUGAGGCGCGAAAGCGUGGGGAGCAAACGGG